AGCUCUUGGUUUUCCCUCAGGUCCCUUCUGGCUCCCACGGAUGGUGCUUUAACAUAGUCCAUGAUGCCAACCUGUACGCUGUGUAAAUGGACUCCCGAGAGAUGCUCUGCUCUUGAGAGAUGACUUUGGAACUGUGCAUCAUAAUCGAGAGAUGUAGGCUAUCCUUUAGAAGUGAGAGAAACAUUUUUUUUUUUUAAAUAGCAAUGAUGGUGUGAGACAGCCAGAAAAGGGAGUGCUUGAAGCAAGCAUUUGGAACCAUCCUUCUGAAGUAGCCUUGGUCUUGGAAAGCGCGCCAGCAAUGGAAGCUGUGUGGUGUGAUGACCUGCAAAGGCAGGUCUUCCAUUUACAUUUCAAACUCCAAGUCAGCCGUGUCAGAGUUUGAACAGGGGCUACAGAGCUUAAUGGGUCAGGCGCAAUUAGCAGGCCGGAGAGCUGCGUGCUGCGGUUGUGAGGAGCACACAAGAACAUACAGGACCUUCUCGAGUUUCACUGUCUGAAAAAUUUCAAAGCUGACCCAAGUCAAGCUGAAAAACGUUUAACACCUUGGGCCCGAACACAAGAAACCC
Molecule: long non-coding RNA, 566 nt
Organism: Mastomys coucha (southern multimammate mouse)
Lineage: Eukaryota; Metazoa; Chordata; Mammalia; Rodentia; Muridae
Exons: 3
Source: RefSeq, a predicted model, not a curated record